UUAUAAGAAACUCUUUGGCAGUGGAACAACACUUGUUGUCACAGAUAAACAACUUGAUGCAGAUGUUUCCCCCAAGCCCACUAUUUUUCUUCCUUCGAUUGCUGAAACAAAACUCCAGAAGGCUGGAACAUACCUUUGUCUUCUUGAGAAAUUUUUCCCAGAUAUUAUUAAGAUACAUUGGCAAGAAAAGAAGAGCAACACGAUUCUGGGAUCCCAGGAGGGGAACACCAUGAAGACUAACGACACAUACAUGAAAUUUAGCUGGUUAACGGUGCCAGAAGAGUCACUGGACAAAGAACACAGAUGUAUCGUCAGACAUGAGAAUAAUAAAAACGGAAUUGAUCAAGAAAU
RNAcentral lists this long non-coding RNA (351 nucleotides) under Homo sapiens (human). Its description in RNAcentral is "non-protein coding lnc-AMPH-10:8". The record is from RNAcentral. Lineage: Eukaryota; Metazoa; Chordata; Mammalia; Primates; Hominidae.